ACGGGUGAGUAAUAUAUCGGAACGUGCCCUAGAGUGGGGGAUAACUAGUCGAAAGACUAGCUAAUACCGCAUACGAUCUACGGAUGAAAGUGGGGGAUCGCAAGACCUCAUGCUCCUGGAGCGGCCGAUAUCUGAUUAGCUAGUUGGUGGGGUAAAAGCCUACCAAGGCAACGAUCAGUAGCUGGUCUGAGAGGACGACCAGCCACACUGGGACUGAGACACGGCCCAGACUCCUACGGGAGGCAGCAGUGGGGAAUUUUGGACAAUGGGGGCAACCCUGAUCCAGCAAUGCCGCGUGAGUGAAGAAGGCCUUCGGGUUGUAAAGCUCUUUUGUCAGGGAAGAAACGGUAGUAGCUAAUAUCUAUUACUAAUGACGGUACCUGAAGAAUAAGCACCGGCUAACUACGUGCCAGCAGCCGCGGUAAUACGUAGGGUGCAAGCGUUAAUCGGAAUUACUGGGCGUAAAGCGUGCGCAGGCGGUUGUGUAAGUCAGAUGUGAAAUCCCCGGGCUCAACCUGGGAAUUGCAUUUGAGACUGCACGGCUAGAGUGUGUCAGAGGGGGGUAGAAUUCCACGUGUAGCA
Molecule: ribosomal RNA, 582 nt
Filed under: uncultured bacterium
Lineage: Bacteria
Description: bacterial SSU rRNA
Rfam family: Bacterial small subunit ribosomal RNA
Source: RNAcentral